CCAAGGGCAGGGACUGUGUGGCACUGCUCACUGCUGUAUCUCCAAGGCCCUAAGGCAUAGUGCCUGGAGCCUCAAUCCAUGAUGGGGAGGGGACAAAGGAAUGGCUAAGCCUGUUGGAGCAGGUGUGAUAGUUUGAGUGAAAGUGACGGGGUCUACAGUGGCAGCAGGAGACAAGAGACACAGCAGGAGAGAAGAAUUGACAGAACCCAGGAUUCAUGAGAGGGGAACACGGGGAGAGAGAAGAAAGAGUUGGCGAUGACUCAGAGUGUGCCUUCCUCGCUAGAUUGGAAGCUCCUUGAAGGCAGGAAUCUCACUGGUUUUAUUGACCAUGUGUACCUGACAGGCUUUCUGGCACAUAGUAGGUGCUCCAGAAAGAUUUGUUGAAUGAAUAAGUGAUGAAUGAAUGAAUUUCUUGAACACCAUAAUAAAAAAUUUGACUCUUAGCCUCCAGGAGACAGGGAGCCAUGGAAAGUUCUAAAGGAAGGCAGUGUCAGGAUGCAGCUCGUGUUUUCGAAAGCUCACCCUGGUGGCUAUAUGGAAGGUGGACUGGGGAGGGAAGGUGGGAGACUAGAGGAGGGGGAUUUGAGGAGCCACUGGGGGAGACAAAGACGAAGCACCUGGGGGUGGGCCUGGGAGCCCCCCUGCCUGUGAGGGCCCUGAGCCCCCUCCCAGUCUUUCCCCAUCCCCCUGCCAGGCCUGUUGUCUCUGAGCCCAGCGGCGGGCAGGCGGUGGGAAGAGCAGGGCUGGCAAAGCUGACACUCACUAAUCAUGGCCCUCACCCCGGAGCUGCACUAACUGUCUGGUCUCCAUGGAGACACAGCAACCUCCGGCCACUUGUUAAUGGCAGCUCAACAAGGCUGCGGCAACAGGGACUGCCCGGCCAGCGUGCCCAGCUCCACACUACCCGUCCCAGCCUGGGUCUCUGCAGAAGACCCUAGGGGUGCCAGAGUUGGGGGACAUGACCAGAGGUCUGGUGGCUGGAAGGCUCCCCCACCCCUCCGUGGCUCCUCCUCCCCUGGCACUGCCAAGCAGCGAGAGGGCAGAGACAGCCUCUGCCCAGGCUGACUCCUCUGCAGGGCUGCUGGGAAGUUGAGCUCAUGCAGGUCACCCAGGCAAGGCCAAAGGGCUGGAGGGGGGUGGAGAGGAGUGGCGCAGGGACCUGCCCGCAGCCCACACACUAGCAGAGUGGAGGAGGGCAUGCUGUGCCUGCCCUGACAACCCUCUGCUCUGCUAGCCUGAGGCAGGGGCCCAAUUGGAAACCAUCUGUCCAGAACCUCUUCUCUGUGCACUGUCACUACAUCUGAAAUGCCACCAUUAGCAAUGCACUCCUUUGGGAGGCAGCGUGGCAUAGCACAAAAACACUGGCUUUGCAGUCAAGCAGGCUUGGGUACAAGGCCUGCCUGGCUCUGUUUCUCUACCUCUGAGCAUUGAUUUCCCCAUCUGUAAAAUGGGGGUAAUCGCUGCACAUACAGGCAAACGCUUCCUCUUCCUGGAAACCUGAGCUCAAUACCUGUGAUGCCUCGCCCAGAGCCUUUACUUCACCCCCACAGAGCAGCUGGGCCUCCUCCGCAGUCCCCGGGCUGAUCCCCCAGCAUGCUCCACCCGCCUGUGACUGUCCCACAUUUGUCCUUCCCACAGACUGAGCCCUGUGGGGUUGGGCACAGUGAGCCUCAGGAGAGGGUGGCGGAAGAAACAAAGGAAGGGCGUGGGGGCCUCCCUCUGUCUUCUGUCUUUGCGCCCUCCUUCGGCACAGGUUGAAGACCUUUUUUCCCUUCUCUCCUCUAGACCUUUGUUCCUACAUCUGUGUGUCUAUCUGUCCAGCCUGCAAACUCUCCCCAAGCCCCUGCCUUUUGUGGGGCCUCAGAGAGGACACAGAUGCCACCCCAACCUAAAGGUGAGACAGGGACCCAAUUCCGGGGCUCUGGAUACCUGAAGCACAGCUGUGGCUGGCUGGGGACUUUGGCACAGCUGUCUCCUCCCUCGGUCAUGCUUUAGGAACACUCCAAGCUGAAGGGGCCCUUGGAAAUCAUCUCCUCUGAUCCACGACUGCCAGCCAGAUGAAGAAACUGAGGCCUGACUGCCCAAGAUCCCACAGCAGUUCCGUUCUUGAGCUGACAAUGUACCAAUUAUGUGGGCCUGCUGGGGAGGCAGCUUUUGGCUCUCGUGGCCCUGCUGACAGCUGUGCUCCCAGUGGCAGCUGGAAUGCUGGUGGGAGGCCUGUCUGGCCUUUGCACCCUGACUCCCCAGGGCAGAGCCAGGUGGCUUUAGUGGGGCCCAGGGCUGGGAGCUAGGGUGGGCAGACAACCCUGAAGGGUGAGUCAGGGCAUGGGACCCUCCUUCGGCACAGGCUGGAGGAGAGGGGAGGCAGCAGUGAUUCUGGAGACUAAAGCAGGAGCCCUGAGGUCUUGUUCCAGCUCUGUUACUCUCUUGCUGGGUAACCUCAGGUGGACCGUUUGACCUCUCUGAACCUUAGUUUUCUUAUUUAUGAAAUGGUGCUAAUUUUGCAGAUUGAAACCCUUUGUCAAGGGUGGUAGACAUACAGAGGUGAAGAAUUUUUUCCAGAGGGGAAGGGACUAGCCGGAGGCCACAGAGCACUGAAUUGGAUACAAGGAUUUGGAGCUGGAGGAAAUGUCCAGUCCAUUCACUUGCUGAAGGAGGAAGUGGAACCAGAGAAGGGGAGCAAGUGCCCAAGGUCACCACAUGAGGCUUGGGCCAGUGUGGGCCUAGAGCCAGGCUGUGCGCGAGGUCCCCUGCCCAGCUGCCUUGCUUGCUCAUCCAGCCCCUUUGGUUUUGUCUCCCCCAGUGAGUGGGCGCAGAACGGGCCCAGCUUCCUUCCUGCCGCCCUGCCCGCCGUCUGCCACGUUGGCAGCCACCCUCAGCCUUCUCGCCCCUGCUGCUGCUGCUGCUGCUGAUGCGGCAUCAGCCGAGACCAACCCGCCGAGAGUUUGCCCAGAGCAGUCAGGGCUGCUGGAGCCGGGGCUGGGCUGGCUGGCUGACUCUGCCAGACAGGAGGGAGCGAGCCAGCCGGUGGAGGGAGGGAACAAGGGCUGAGCCAGCCCCCAGCCUUCCCAGCCCUUCCCCACCCUCACCCGUCAAGGGAGGGAGGCAGAAAGCUUGGGUUGGGGGCCAGGGGGCUGCAGUGUCUGAGAGCGAGUUUCCAAGAGCUGGGUCUGUCCGUGGGAGUGUGCACACACAUACAUGUGUGCAUGGAAGAGCAUGGUGGGGUGAUUUGUGAGUCUGUGUUUGCCUCAGUGUGCACAAGUGAUGAUGCUUUGUGUGUGGUUCUGUGCCAACACAGGGGGCCCCUGUGUGUCUGUGUAAGCACAAAGGAAAGCUGUAUACCCCGAGUUUGACCUCGGGCCUAUGUACAGAGACACUUGGGAUCUAGCAGUGUAUGCACAUGGCAGCGGAUGGGCACCACGUCAGUGCCAAUAAAUCCGUGUAUGCACAAGAGAGUCGGUAUGUGUCCCUGAGUUUGUGUAUGUCACGUCUGGUAUGCUGGGAGCCCCUGUGAUUUUAUGGUGUACAAGAGGAUAACAGCAUAACUGUGGGUGUGGGCUUGUCUGUGUGUGCACAAGGGGCAGUGUGUGUGCAGAAGGGAACGCUGCAGGUGGCUGGGAUUUUGUGCGUGUCUCAUGUGUGCCCAGGAAGGCACUGUUCUGGUAGUGUGGGCUAGUCCAAAUGUCCAGAGGGUGGGAAUGGGCGCCUCUGUGCCCAACAGACUUUGUCUGUGUCGUUGUUGAGAGUGACUCAGGGGAACACUGUGUGACUGUGUGUGCUUGGCUGUGUGUACAGGGAACAGGCGGCAGAGGCAUUGUGUUUCUGUGGUUGCAUUUACACAGGGCGGUGGCGGCGGCGGCGCUGGUGAUGGUGACGGUGCUGUGCUACAGGUUUGCACUUGUUCCUCUGUGUGGCAAGGCCCUGCGUGUGACUGCGCUUGUGUGUGUCUGUGAGCACGGUGUGCUGGAAACUGCCUGCUUGGGUCUGUGGCAGGCUGAAUGGAGGAGGGCGGAGGGAGUCCAUGGCUGUGUUUGUACUUGUCUGUGAGCCCGGGGUCAGAUGCGCUCCAUGUGCUGCCUCCUGUGUGCACAGGUGGCCGCUGUGUCCAACCGUGUCUUUGUGUGUUUUGGGUCGCCUGAAUGUGCACAGGCGGAGGACAUGGAGGGGGGGAUUUGAGUGCGUGCCUGUGCAGGCCCCUUUAACGUGGCAAGUCUAAGAAAUGUCGGCCUUCUUGGCAGCAAAUCUGGGCUUGGUUCCACUGGGGGUGUCUGCAGAGAGGGGCUCUUAGAAGGGACGUGCUUGAGCGAGAGAGACAGGAAGGGAAGGGGGGGCCAGCCCCAUCUUGGGGUUUCCAGGAGGGAAAGCCAGACAUUGGAACUUGUCAACGCUACCUCCUUCCCUGCCCCCACCUUCCACUGCUGCCUCCCCUCCUGGCGCCUGAAGGCUGCUGGCAGACAGACAGACAGACAGACAGUGCACACAUAGACUGGCUCACAGGCACAGAGCCCAAACCUGAUCCCCUAAAUGCACCAGGCUGGAUACUGAGGUCCAGAGAGGGCAAAGGAAGUGGCUGAGUCUUGGAGGAGCACAUGUGUUUAUGCAUGUUGUGGGCAGGGGGUGCUAUUGGCCUCUGGUGCUUCAACCUACACUAGAGUCCAGGCCUGAGGUGGAGAAGAGGCUGUAGAGAGCCCCUGAGGAGGGGCUUUUAUGGUUCCAACCAGACCCUCAAGGCUCCUAGCCCCUCUCCCUGUUUAUACAACUGCUGCAGGGUCCUUGAGAGUCCAGUUGCCUCAAAAAGCACCUACUGAAACUCCCUGUAUGUACAGAGGCAGAAGUGGCCCAGAGAGGAGCAGCAACUGAUACAGGGUCACACAGCAGAACCAAGACUGGAAGCCGGGGCUCCUUCUAGCUGUGCGUGUUGGCCCACAGGCUACUUAGUCCUAUCUUUCCCUUGGUCCAUUUAGCUCUUUCUCCCUCUCAGGUCUUCAGGAUAUAACAAUGACCUCUUUUUAUUUAAAACAUUUUUAUUUUUUUAUUUUAUUUUUUUUUGAAACAGAGUCUUGCUCUGUUGCCAGGCACCAGGCUGGAGUGCAGUGGUGUGAUCUUGGCUCACUGCAACCUCUGCCUCCCGGGUUCAAGCAAUUCUCCUGCCUCAGCCUCCUGAGUAUCUGGGACUACAGGCGCACGCCACCAUGCCCAGCUAAUUUUUGUAUUUUAGUGGAGGCGGGCUUUCAUUGCGUUGGCCAGGAUGGUCUCCAUCUCUUGACCUCGUGAUCCACCCGCCUCGGCCUCCCAAGUGCAGGGAUUACAGGCGUGAGCCACCCAGCCCGGCCGACAAUGACCUCGUUUUUGUUGUUGUUGUUGCCCAAGUGAUAUGUCUGUCUGCCUGUUAGCCCAUCUGUUUUUCACAGGGCCUCAAUACCCUCUAGCAGAAACUGGAAGAGAACACAGCUUGGUUUUUGGCCAAGGGCUAUUGGAGAGGUAAAGGUGGGAUGGGGAGACAGAGAAACAGAAGGAAAGGAAUUUGAGAAGAGAGGAAGGAGGAGAGAAGAGCAAGGGGAGGGUUGGUGGCAGAGCUGAGAGGCACAGACUCCCCUUUACCUCCACCUCCAGCCUGGGCACAGGGGUGAGCUCUGAGCUCAGAGUCCUGCCUCUUGGGGCCUUGGGAUAGGGACCCCAGGGCUCCUCUCAGGUCUGGGAUCAACCCCUCCGAGGGCAGCUACAUUGGAGUCCCUGGGGACAGUAUUCUGGGUGCAAGUGUCAGGUGCAGUGACCGAACUGCCCUCAUGGGAAAAGGAGGGAGGGGAUUGCAGGUGCAGAUGGGGUAUGAACCUGGGCAUGCGUUGACUUAGGGUGUGUGCUCUCUUUGGAGCAGGGUUGUUGAGAAUGUGCGUGACGUUGUGAGUAUCCUAGGACUCUGUAUACCUAUGGACAUGACCAUGUGGCAGACAAGCUGGGACUCCAGGUGGGGGGAGGGGAAGGACUGCAGGAAUGUGUGUCUGUGACGGCAGGAGUGGUUGUGUAUGUGUGGAGGGAUUUGUGUGAACCGGCACUUACAUGUUCUUGUGGAGGCUGUAGCCUGUGUAUGUAGGCAGGUGAACAGUAUAGCUAUGGACAAUUGUGUGUGUGUUGCGUGUGUCUGGAUGAAUGCAUAUCAUGUGAUUGAACUGCAUGAGUAUUUACAUGUUAAAUGUAUAACUGCAUAUAUGUGUAGAUGCGUACACAUUUGUGAUUGUCUUGAGGCUUAUGUGUGGAGUUAUCUGAGUCUUGCCUGUAGAUUGUGUGUGUAGUCGUGUGUAUUUGUGAAGCAGUGAAUGUUAGGGAGCUGUUCCCAUAUAUGGUUGUGUAUUUUGGGGGAUACUAUAUGUGGGGUUCUUUUUCGCUUGCCUGUUUUUGUUUUUGUUUUUUUGAGACCGAGUCUUGCUCUGUCGCCCAGGCUGGAGUGCAGUGCCGCAAUCUCGGCUCACUGCAACCUCCGCCUCCCGGGUUCAAGUGGUUCUCCUGCCUCAACCUCCCGAGUAGCCGGGACUACUGGCACGUGCCACCACGUCCAGCUAAUUUUUGUAUUUUUAGUAGAGACUGAGUUUCACCAUGUUGGUUGGGAUGGUCUCGAUCUCUUGACCUUGUGGUCCGCCCACCUCCACCUCCCACCAUGCCCAGCCACUGUGUAGUUCUUUUUGAGAAGGAGUUUCACUCUCGUUUCCCAGACUGGAGUGCAGUGGCAGGAUCCCGGCUUACUGCAACCUCCAUCUCCCAAGUUCAAGAGAUUCUCGUGCCUCAGCCUCCCAAGUAGCUGGGAUUACAGAUGUGUGCCACCAUGCCUGGCUAAUUUUUGUAUUUUUAGUAGAGACGGGGUUUUUCCAUGUUGGCCAGGCUGGUCUUGAACUCCUGGCCUCAAGUGAUCUGCCCACCUCGACCUCCCAAAAUGCUAGGAUUACAAGCCCGAGCCACCAUGCCUGGCCUAUAUGUGUGGUUCUUGAGGCUAUAGUUUAUUUUGUGUUUAUUGCCAAACUUCCCCUGUCAGAAUGCGAAAUCUGUGAGGACUGAGAUUUUUUAUCUGUUUUGCUCACUGUAUUUCUAGUAUCCAGAAUAAGGCCCAACACUUAGUAGGCACUUGAUAUAUAUUUCUCCAAUGAAUAAUGAAUGAGAGUGGUCAUGCUUGUCAGGGUGUGCGAAAUGUAUUAUGUGUAUGAAUCAUGUGUGUGUCUGGGUGUGUGGAUGGAUACAUUUUUUGUGCCCAGGUGUGUGAGGUUUCUAGCGCAAGUGGCCUAUGAGCCAAGUGUGUGCACGGGGCACGUGUGUCUAGGCGUGUGACUGUGUACCUGAAGCUGAGCCACGUCUGUGAGCAUUGCAUACAACUGUGUGCAUGCACAGUUGUGUGUGCUUGUGCAGGGGGUAGGAAGGCACUGUUGGCUUCUCCCAGCCUUCAGCACUCACUCAGCUUCACCCCAGGUCGCCUGCUGCGAAAUGUCAGUGGCAGAGAAGCUAAAAAUAUCCGCUCUCCUCCUUCUGCUCACUGCUUGGGCUGAUGGGACUGUGGGGCCCCAGUCGGCCCCUUGGGCCCUGGGGGGAGGAGGAACUGCUGGAUGAGGGGGUGGGGUAUGGGGGAAGGAAGAGAGGCCCUCCUCAGUACACACCCUUCCCCCUUUCCUCUUGGGCUCCAAAGCCAGGCUCCAGGCUCACCUCUUUCAGGAAUCCCUCAAGAACCCCCCCAGGAGCUGUGUGUGUCUGUGUGUCUGUCUGCCUGGCAAAGAGAUAUGGACUCCAUCAGACUGGAGCUCCAUGGGGGAGGUCUGUGCCUCUUCUGGCACAAGGGACAGAGCUCUGUCUCCUUCAGACCAGGGGCUCUCAGGGAAAAGGUGAUGUCUCCUCCCUAAGGCUGAGGGUUAGGGAGGCAGUCCAGGCCAGACACGGCUUCACUGGGCUCUGGUUCUGGGGCCACUAGGGCCCUCUGACCCCAGGGCACAUCUGUUCCCAUGAAGAGCUAGUGAGUAGGGAGGAGUCUCAGCUCUGCCCACACCACACCCCAGGCUGGCACAUAUUUGUGCUGUGGGUACUUGUGCGGGUGCAGGUGGGGCAUGUCAGGGCCCGUAGUCCUCUGGGGACCUGUGCCUCUCCACAUGCCUGCAUCAGUGGUGUCAGUGACUGCCUGCCUUGGCCAUUGUGGUCAAUCAGUGCAAGUUGGGUCCAUUGUGUGUUUCUCUGUGUUCUUGUGUGUGCACAUGGAUGACUCUGUAUGUGGGUUUCUGCCUUUCAUUGUGCAGGCCUGCAGACACUAGCAGGGAUGGAUGUGUUCGUGCGGGAGUUGCCGGUGUCACCAUGUGGGGUUUCUGUGUGUCAGUGUGCUCGAGUGUGUGUCUCUGUCAGAUGGUCAGUGCCUGUUUGUCCUGUGAAUGGAGGUGUCUGCAGGUGCAUCUGUGUGUCAGUGUUUCGAUGAUGUUUCUGCAUGUUUGUGUGUCUGUCUGCCUGGAUGUCAUUAUGUCUGCAGCAACUCCGUGCCUGUGUGGCAUGCUCAGGUCAGUUUGAUUUUUCAGGUUUGUAGGGCCAUGUGUCCCUCUGUGUGUUGGUGCUUUCCAUGUGGGUUGGAAUCUGCCCCUACUUUUCCUAGUCUCCCACCAUUUCUGUGUGGAAGGCCUCAGGCAUUGUGUGUGUGUGUGUGUGUGUGUGUGUGUGUACAGCAACUUUUCCCAGCCCCAAAGCCUGCAGCCCUGAGACCUGCUCUCCCACUCUUUCUCUGUUGGACUUGAGGUGGGAGCUGAAGCAAAGAGGGCAGGCAGGCAGGGAGCCCAUGACAGCCGGGGGCUGGGGCCAGGCUGCCACGAGGGCCCUGCCUCAGCUUUCCUCCAAGCAAGCGCUAAGCCAGAGCCUCAGUUACAUGUAAACACCAGCUGUGUCAAGAAGGCGCAGCUUCUUCUAGGUCAACAGACAGCUGUGGGGUUGCUAAGCAACGGCCUGGCUCCCCCCUCUAUUAGGCCCCCUCCCACUGCCUCUACCUGCAAAACCCUCUGCUGGCUCCCCCCACGCCAGGAAGGCCUGCCCCACAGAGCCAAUUAACACAGCGGGACUGAGGGGGUAGGGGGUCAGGGCAGUUCUGGGACUGGAAUCAAGGUAUGAGGAGGUGUUAACCCUUCAGGUGCCACCACCCCCUCCACCUAGUCCUGGGUCACUUCACACACCCAUAACUUCACCAGUCACUUUAGAGCCUGGAGUGAUGAAGAGCAGGUCCUGAGGGAUAGGGACCCUCAGAGCGGCUACAACAGGGACUGGAGAGAUGCUGGAGGCAGAUGGCACAGGGCCUGGUCAAGGCCUCUUCCCUCCCCAGCCAAGCCGGGGGAAGGAAGGGUUAAAUUCCCCCUUUAUUUCCCCUAUCCCGCCCCCUCUCAGGACAGCCACCCUUUUCCAGGGCAGCACCUGCGCUCCCAGCUGCCGUGCCCGCUCGGUGCCUGAGCCCAGGCCAGGCAGCCCCAGGCAGCCCCCCGCAGCGUUCGGGCCCUUGCCCUCGCCUUCCCCGGCCCCAGGGCCGCCCUUUGCCGGGCCUGGGACGUCUCUUCGGGUAGAGGGGAGGCAAGGGCCCCCAGGCCUCCAGCAAGGGGCUCAGGCACUCCGAGUGGGGUGCGUGGGCCGGGGUGCCAGCCCCCGGGGUGACUUGGCUGGAGCCGGAGGCAGGAGUUGGAGGAGGGAACCCGGCCGGCAGGGGGGCAGCUGUGGGGGCAGCGCCCAUGGCCACCCCAUUAGUAUGCGGCCGCGCUCCGCGCGCCAUGGCAACAGCUCCCGCCGCGCCGCGCCAGCCUGGCAGCCCCGGGCGCAGCGCGCACCUCUCCUCCCACAGGUGGCGGCGCGCACGGGCGCGCACGGGCACGCACGCACACUCGGCCCGGGCGCCUAAGGGAGAGCCUGGGGCGCCAGGUGCGCUCGGGCGUCCUGCCGCCAGCGCAGCCGCCCAUGGGCGUGUCCCCAGGUGCUCCAGAGUGAGGCCCGAGGGAGGAGUGUGUCCCCAAGACGUUUUGCCCUUGCCUGGGUGUGCUCCUCUGUGGGUCCCUCGGCGGGCCUGCUGUGCCUUUAUGUUGGUCUCCGAUUGUCCUGGAGGGUCUGUGUCUGUGCUCAUCCGCCUCAGCCUCCAGUGCAUGGCCCCGAGUGUGACUGCCACUGUUAACUGAACAUACCUGUGCCUCUGUAUCUGUGUCUGUAUGCGCCUGAGGGUGUGUGUGAAUGUGCGUGUCCAUGGUUCUGGGCUUUCCCCUGGAGGAACGCCCCGGGUGUGUCUGCAACUCUGGAUGUCCGCGUGUGCCUGGAUGAGCAUCUGUGUGUGCGCCUUUGUAUCUACGCAAACGUCUGUGUGUUGAGGCCCGUGGAUAUCUGUGUCUGGCAUCCAUGUGUGUUUUGGGGUGUGGUUGUGUGUGGACUUUUGUCCCUGUGAGUGCCCUCAGGAGCCCCUCUCUCCAGGCACGUCACUAUGUGUUCCUGUGAGCGCCCGAGUCUCCAGGAGUGUGGCUGUGUGUCCAGGGGCUGCUGGCUCUUUGCCCUCCUCGGCUUCACUCCCUGCUGCCUGAGUGAGCCGACACCUGCUCCCUGAGCACUGGGCCCCCUCCCCCCACCUGGCAAGGACAGGGAAGGACGCGGAGGCAGAGGCAGACAUGGAGGCAGAGACAGAGACAUGGAGGGAGACACAGCCAAGCAGGCUGGAGAGGUGGAGAUCCAGUCAUGUGAUCAGCCUCAAAGCCCAAGACGGAGAAGAGUCACAGAGAUGCCAAGAUCCGGACAUUAGAGAGAGGGAGACUCAGAGGCACACAGAGACCCAGAGCUCCGCGUCCGGAACUGCAGAAACAGAAGAGAUCAAGGAUGCAGCUCCCCAGCCUCCCUUCCUUUCUCCCUCCCUCCCACUCUAGACUUUGCAGCCCCAGCUGUGCCUCCCCCACAUACCCAAAGCAGAGUUCUCCUGGCCCUGGGACUGGAAACCAGCCUCCUCCUCACAGCUGGCUGUGUGUGUGUGGACACGUGUAUGUGCAUGUGCGCAUCUGCAUGACGCACUGAGCUAGUGCCUACCUAGUACACAGCCCUCCCCUUAAACACCCCUUUCCCCCCCUCCACCGUCCACAUUUCACAGACCCAAAUCAUGCACACCUUUACACACAUGCUACACAGCCAGCCACACUCAUUCAAGCCCAGUAACAUGCUCGGGGCCUCCCUCUCUUAAUCCCAUCCACACAGGGCCAGAAGACCCAGCAUACAAAGCCAUACCAGAAGUCUCUCCCCGGCCUAAGCUCUGCUGGUCAGAUAUCCACCCCUUAUAUUUCCCCCUCAGCAACCCUUGAGGGGCUCGAACCCCGCCACUCACAGGGAAAAACACAUGAUUAAAUUUGUCAAUUCCAGCAGACUAGACACUUAAAGGCAGGGUCCCUGCCUGUCCUGCUCACUUUUGAGUCCCCAAGUGCCUUCAACGGUGCCUGGUAAUUUAUAGAUGUUUAAGAAAUGUUUGAAUGGGCCGGGGAUGGUGGCCCACGCCUAUAGUCCCAGCACUUUGGGAGGCUGAGGUGGGUGGAUCACCAGAGGUCAGGAGUUUGAGACUAGCCUGUCCAACAUGGUGAAACCCUGUCUCUAAAAACAAAAACAAACAACAAAAAAGCAAUAGUUGAAUGAAUAUGUUCAUACCAGGUUUCUCAGAGAACCCACAGUAAUUGACAGCCAUUCAGUGAAAAACGUGAAUGGAUAGCACAGUGCACAUACAAGAAAAUAUCGUAUGCACACCUAGGACAGCACACUAAAUACAGGUGUGUGUGUGACACUCAGCUCAACAGCUUAGAGGUUCUCCAGUGGGCUGCGCAUUGGAACCAUGCAAGAAGCUUUCAAAAAUCCCCAUGCCCAGGCCCCACCCCAGACCCAUAAAAUCGGAAUAUUUUGGGGUAAGACCUGGACAUCAGCAUUUUGAAGCUCUCCAGGCAAUUCCUUUCUAGGAUCUAGAACCCCUAGAACCCCUAUGUAGAUGAAGAGACUAAAAAAUGUUGACACAGGGGUUAUUGCCAGGGAUGGGAGUAGAGAGGAUUUUCACCUUUUUUUUUGGGAUGGAGUCUAGCUCUGUCACCCAGGCUGGAGUGCAGUGGUGCAAUCUCGGCUCACUCUAACUUCUGCCUCCUGGGUUCAAGCGAUUCUGCUACCUCAGCCUCUUGUGUAGCUGGGAUUAAAAGUGCAAACCACCACACCCAGUUAAUUUUUGUAUGUUUAGUAGACACUGGGUUUCACUGUGUUGGCCAGGCUGGUCUUGAACUCCUGAUCUCAUGAUCUGCCCACCUCAGCCUCCCAAAGUGCUGGGAUUACAAGCAAGAGCCGCUGCGCCUGGCCCACCUUUUUUUUUCUGUUGAGAUCGAUCUGUCACGUAGGCUGGAGUGCAGUGGUGAGAUCUCGGCCCACUGCAACCUGUGCCUCUCGGGUCAAAUUACUCUCCUGCCUCAGCCUCCCGAGGAGCUGAAACCACAGGUGUGCACCACCGCACCCAAGGAUUUUCACUUUUUUUUUUUUUGAGACAGUUUCACUCUUGUCUCCCAGGCUGGAGUGCAAUGGGGCGAUCUCCGCUCACUGCAACCUCUGACUCCCAGGUUCAAGCAAUUCUCCUGCCUCAGCCUCCCAAGUAGCUGGGAUUACAGGCACCUGCCACCUUGUGCCCAGCUAAUUUUUGUAUUUUCAGUAGAGACUGAGUUUCGUCAUGUUGGCCAGGCUGGUCUCAAACCCCUGACCUCAGGUGAUCCACCCACCUCAGCCUCCCAAAGUGCUGGGAUUACAGGUAUGAGUCACUGCAUCUGGCCAGGGUUUUCACUUUUUUUGUGUGAGACGGAGUUUCGCUCGUUACCCAGGCUGGAGUGCAAUGGCACGAUCUCAGCUCACUGCAACCUCUGCCUCCUGGGUUCAGGCAAUUCUCCUGCCUCAGCCUCCUGAGUAGCUGGGAUUACAGGCACGCGCCACCAUGCCCAGCUAAUUUUUUGUAUUUUUAGUAGAGACGGGGUUUCACCAUGUUGACCAGGAUGGUCUCGAUCUCUUGACCUCGUGAUCCACCCGCCUCGGCCUCCCAAAGUGCUGGGAUUACAGGCUUGAGCCACCGCACCCAGCCUCGGGUUUUCACUUUUAACUGUACAGGGAAGCACAGACUUCUGAGCCAGGCUGCUUGGUCUGAACUCUGGUGUCACCACCUAAGCAAGGUCUAGUUUGAACAUACUCACUGAGUGGUCUUCAUAAAUUAGCUCUCUGCACUUGAGUCUCCUGUCUGUAAAAUGGGGAUAGUCAUUACAAUGAAGCCUCAUAGGAUUCUGGUGGAACCAAAUUCAUUAAUAUAUAUGCAAAGCAUUUAGAACAGCUGACAUAUAGUAAGUGCCGUGUGUGUGUGUGUGUGUGUGUGUGUGUGUAUAUGGCUGUUAUGUAUCAUUAAAUUUUUUAAAUUAUAGAAUAGAUUAAUUUUUUUAUUUUUAUUUUUUGAGAUGGAAUUUCGCUCUUGUUACCCAGGCUGGAGUGCAAUGGCACGAUCUCGGCUCACCACAACCUCCGUCUCCUGGGUUCAGGCAAUUCUCCUGCCUCAGCCUCCCGAGUAGCUGGGAUUACAGGCAUGUGCCACCAUGCCCAGCUAAUUUUUUGUAUUUUUAGUAGAGACGGGGUUUCACCAUGUUGACCAGGAUGGUCUCGAUCUCUUGACCUUGUGAUCCACCUACCUCGGCCUCCCAAAGUGCUGGGAUUACAGGCGUGAGCCACCGUGCCCGGCUCAAUUUUUGGAUUUUAUAAGCAGAUUCUUCCCCCCUUAAAACUGUUGUGAAAAAGCAAGGGAGGCCAGGCGUGGUGGGUGGCUCACACCUAUAAACCCAGCACUUUGGGAGGCCGAGGCAGGUGGAUCACCUGAGGUUGGGAGCUCGAGACCAGCCUGACCAACAUGGAGAAACCCCUUCUCUACUAAAAAUACAAAAUUAGCCACAUGUGUUGGUGCAUGCCUGUAAUCCCAGCCACUUGGGAGGCUGAGGUAGGAGAAUCGCUUCAACCUGGGAGGCAGAGGUUGCAGUGUGCAGUGAUUGUAUCAUUGCACUCCAGCCUGGACAAGAAAGAAAACUCUGUCUCAAAACAAAAACAAAAACAAAACAAAAAUUUGCCAGGUAUGGUGGCAGGCACCUGUAGUCCCAGCUACUCGGGAGGCUGAGGCAGGAUAAUUGCUUCAACCUGGGAGCUGGAGGUUGUAGUGAGCCGAGAUUGCAUCACUGCACUCCAGCCUGGGUGACAGAGCAAGACUACAUCUCAGGGGAAGGGGGAGCAGAGAAAAAGCAAGGGAAAAAAUUUUUUAAAAAGAAAAGAAAAAGGCUGGGCAUAGUGGCUCCACCUGCAAUCCCAGCACUUUGGGAGGGCAGAGUGGGAGAACUGCUUGAGGUCAGGGGUUUAAGACCAGCCUGGGGAACAUGGCAAGACACCAUCUCUAAAAAGCAGAAAUAAAAGUACAAAAAGGGGGGAAAAAAUAAAGGGCAUAGAGUCUAGGCCAACCUACUUCUGCCACUUCCCAUGUGAGCUUGGACCAGUCCCUUACUCUGUGUCUGGGAACCCGUCUUCACAUCUAUGAAUCAAGUGAGCAUCUUUUUGUACCUCAAGGAUUGUUCUGAAGAAUGAACACCUCAGGGAAGUGUUUAACAAAUGAUGGUGAAACCCACGUAUCUGAGAGCCACACUGCCUUGAUGCAUUCUGGGAUCAGAUGUGGCACUGGGGUGGUGGUAGGGCCCUGACCUCUGAAAAGAACAGAUCAAAACAGGGUGUGCCCCAAACCUGCACCAUACACUGUGCAGGGUAUCUGCUGCCCUUGCCUAAGGGGACAGAGAACCUUCGAUCCCAGAGGCCCUGGUCCAUCUCCUGAGUUCGGUCUCCAAAAUACACCAUGGACAGCCAGGCUCACCCCUUACUAAACAGCAGACCCUAGGCUGAAACCCCGCCCCUCGCUGAGUGCCCAUUCCCUUGCUGCUCCUCCCUUUCUAUCUCCCAAAGCCCCUGUUCUCACCAAGCCUCCCUCCCAUCGCUUCCCUCUCCCUAUGCCCCUCUCUUUACAGUGAACCCCCAUCUUCCCUUCAAGUUAAGGGGCCACUUCACAGGGCUGUAAUCACCUUGUCAAACUCCCAUUUCCUUCCUGGGUCUCCUUUCCCUGCCCCAGUUCCAGAGCCCUGGGGCCCACAACCCUUCACUGUCCUUCCUCCUCCUUUCAAGACCCAUCUCUUACUGAGCCCCAAUGCCUUCCACUAAGCAAUCCCCCACUGUCCCCUUCCUUCCCUGAAACCUCUUCUGGGCCGCCAACCCUCUGAGUCCUCAGCUGGACUCACAGGCCCCACUCUGAUUCCCUUCAAGCCAACUAGGCCCAGCCUGCCCUAUUUGGGCAGCCUUCCCGAGUCUCUUCUGCUUCCUCAGCAGCCACUGAACACAGGCAUUUUCUUCCUGCUGGUGAUUCUUGGGGCUGAACACAGGCUUCUCUUGGGUUGGCCUAUCCCAGCCUCACCCACUGCUUUCUCUGAAGCCACUUACCCACUCCAACCAGCCUCCACCCUACCCAGAGUGACCUUGUUAAAGGCCCCUCCCUAAACAGUGUGUACCCACCAGACCUGACUGCGUGCGACUCCUGCCUGCUCACAUCUCUGGGCCUUUGCACAGCCUCUCCCUCCUCCAGGAACUCCCUCACUUUUCUGCCUAGCUCAGGCUUGGCUCUGUGAAACUUUCUCCUUAGGGUAGCCCUCCUCCCUAACCCUUAGAGGGCCUCACUACUUCUUGCCCCCACUUCCAGCUCUAUACUGCAUGGAUGGCUUGAGUGUAGCAGUGUCUUCCCCGUCAGCCGUCAGGAAGUGCAGGACAAUGUCUUCAUCUCUGAGUCUGGGGAAUGCCAGGAGGGAGCUUGGUGGGUGGAUGAGCCUUUUACAUCCAGUACAGAGGCUACAGUUUCAGGGGACUGUGACCUGAGUCCUCCUGCCCCUUCUUCCAGACAGCUGUGUCCAGAAGGUGGGGGUGUGUAUCCCCCUUCAGACCACGGGCUCCUCUGACUCUCCUGAGGCCAGGGCCUCGAUGGCUGGGUCAGGGAGGGCAGGCCCUGUGGCACUAUCCCUUGGUGUCUCCCUGAGCUUCAUUAAGGAGGGACACAAAGCCACACUCAGUAGAACUUAAACAUAUAAUGGGUCUAUGGGAAAAACUGCUUCCCAAAGACCAGGAAGGUCAGAAUGGGCAUUAUUUGGGCAAAGGCAGCCAAAAGGCCCCAAAGUCAGGAAUCAGUAAACAGCUUAGCUCUUCUUGGCCCACCAGACACAGGCACAGUUAGGAGUUUUCUUUUUCCAAAGUUUACCAAAGCUGGGAGGAAACAAAGACCCAGCAUUUGGAGUUCAGGGUAGACAGAAAGGGGAGGGUGGACUAACACUGGGGUGACCAGCCUGGUAAUAUCCCAAGUUCUGCAUAAGCAGAUGUGGGUGCACUGGAGUAAAAUGAGGGACGUGGAGGCAGAGAAGACUCAUGACCUGGGGCAAAUGGGAGAUACACAGACGGGGGCACUGCAUUCCUAGUGGGAAAGGGAGGCCCCACGAGGGUUCUCAGACUUAGGACAGAAUGAAUGUUGCCAAGAGAGGUGUCCUUGAACCAGAGUAGAACUGUGAGGCCCAAAGGCCAGGAAGACACAGGACAAACAAAGGGACUAGAGGCAGAGACACGGGACCUUGGAUGGAAUAAGGGAGUCCAGAGCAGGAUCCCCAAGCUCUGGCCCAUGAUGGAGGCUCCCAAGGAGAGGAAACCCAGGAUUUGGGGAGACCUUGGACUUGUGAUAGAAUAUGGGGUCUCAGAGUCAGACACCCAGGUCCUAGUGCACAAUGAAGGUCCAAGAGGCAGAAUCCCUGGACCUGGGACCCAGUGCAUGAUCAAGGACCUGGAUGUCCUCGGCAGCAGAAUGGGGAGCUCAGAGGCAGGGAGACCCAGGGCCUGGGAUGAAAUGGGGAGAACCCAGAUGCAAGGGUGACCCAGAUCUCAGGCAGAAGGGAGAACUCUGUGGCCAGGAACACAUGUAGGUUAUUUCAGCUCCUCUGGAGAACCAGUAGCUGGUGACAAAACCCAGCAGUGACCCUUCUACUCCCUCCACCCUCACUCCCCCUUUCACAAGACACGAGGUUUUUUUUGUUUUUUUUUUUUUGCUUUUUUUCAUUUCUUUUUAAUACAAACUUGGAUCUUUGGGUGUGUCCUGCCAACAGAAAACAACAACAACAACAACAGAAGAGAAAACCCAAAAGAGUGAAAAAUAAGAAAGAAAAAAAAAAGCUCCCGCAAGAGGUUCUUCUCCCUCCCCCCCAC
This is a non-coding RNA of Callithrix jacchus (white-tufted-ear marmoset), 17316 nucleotides long. The record is from RefSeq and is a predicted model, not a curated record. NCBI's taxonomy places the organism in Eukaryota, Metazoa, Chordata, Mammalia, Primates, Cebidae.